This 447-nucleotide ribosomal RNA is filed under the name uncultured bacterium. RNAcentral's name for it is "partial 16S ribosomal RNA". It matches the Rfam family "Bacterial small subunit ribosomal RNA", at positions 29 to 523 of the family's 1533-position model. The record is from RNAcentral.
AACGAACGCUGGCGGCAGGCUUAACACAUGCAAGUCGAACGCCCCGCAAGGGGAGUGGCAGACGGGUGAGUAACGCGUGGGAAUCUACCGUACCCUACGGAACAACAGUUGGAAACGACUGCUAAUACCGUAUACGCCCUACGGGGGAAAGAUUUAUCGGGGUAUGAUGAGCCCGCGGUGGAUUAGCUAGUUGGUGGGGUAAAGGCCUACCAAGGCGACGAUCCAUAGCUGGUCUGAGAGGAUGAUCCGCCACAUUGGGACUGAGACACGGCCCAAACUCAUACGUGAGGCAGCAGUGGGGAAUAUUGGACAAUGGGCGCAAGCCUGAUCCAGCCAUGCCGCGUGAGUGAUGAAGGUCUUAGGAUUGUAAAGCUCUUUCACCGAUGAAGAUAAUGACGGUAGUCGGAGAAGAAGCCCCGGCUAACUUCGUGCCAGCCGCCGCCGUAA